Molecule: ribosomal RNA, 472 nt
Filed under: uncultured bacterium
Lineage: Bacteria
Description: bacterial SSU rRNA
Rfam family: Bacterial small subunit ribosomal RNA
Source: RNAcentral
UGGAAACUGAUGACUGAGGGCAAGGAGAGGGGGAGUGGCCUUGCCAGUGUAGCGGUGAAUGCGUAGAUAUUCGGGAGGAUCACAGUGCGAGCGCUUCUUUGACUGUUUCUGACGCUGAGGCGCGAAGCGUGGGGAGCAAACGGGAUUAGAUACCCAGUAGUCACGCAGUAAACGAUGGGUGCUAGGUGUAGGAGGUAUCGACCCAUUCUGUGCCGUAGUUAACACAAUAAGCACCCCGCUGGGGAGUACGGCCGCAAGGUUGAAACUCAAAGGAAUUGACGGGGGCCCGCACAAGCGGUGGAGCAUGUGGUUUAAUUCGACGCAACGCGAAGAACCUUACCAGGGCUUGACAUCCUCUGACCGCAUAUGAAAGUAUGUUUUCUGGCUUCGGUCAGACAGAGAGACAGGUGGUGCAUGGUUGUCGUCAGCUCGUGUCGUGAGAUGUUGGGUUAAGUCCCGCAACGAGCGCAAC